Molecule: ribosomal RNA, 917 nt
Filed under: Listeria monocytogenes
Lineage: Bacteria; Bacillati; Bacillota; Bacilli; Caryophanales; Listeriaceae
Description: partial 23S ribosomal RNA
Rfam family: Bacterial large subunit ribosomal RNA
Source: RNAcentral
GGGCACUGUCUCAACGAGAGACUCGGUGAAAUUAUAGUACCUGUGAAGAUGCAGGUUACCCGCGACAGGACGGAAAGACCCCGUGGAGCUUUACUGCAACCUGAUAUGGAAUGUUUGUACCGCUUGUACAGGAUAGGUAGGAGCCGAAGAGACGUGUGCGCUAGCAUACGAGGAGGCAAUGGUGGGAUACUACCCUGGCUGUAUGACCAUUCUAACCCGCCACGCUUAGCGCGUGGGGAGACAGUGUCAGGUGGGCAGUUUGACUGGGGCGGUCGCCUCCUAAAGAGUAACGGAGGCGCCCAAAGGUUCCCUCAGAAUGGAUGGAAAUCAUUCGCAGAGUGUAAAGGCACAAGGGAGCUUGACUGCGAGACUGACAAGUCGAGCAGGGACGAAAGUCGGGCUUAGUGAUCCGGUGGUUCCGCAUGGAAGGGCCAUCGCUCAACGGAUAAAAGCUACCCCGGGGAUAACAGGCUUAUCUCCCCCAAGAGUCCACAUCGACGGGGAGGUUUGGCACCUCGAUGUCGGCUCGUCGCAUCCUGGGGCUGUAGUCGGUCCCAAGGGUUGGGCUGUUCGCCCAUUAAAGCGGCACGCGAGCUGGGUUCAGAACGUCGUGAGACAGUUCGGUCCCUAUCCGUCGCGGGCGCAGGAAAUUUGAGAGGAGCUGUCCUUAGUACGAGAGGACCGGGAUGGACACACCGCUGGUGUACCAGUUGUUCCGCCAGGAGCAUCGCUGGGUAGCUAUGUGUGGCAGGGAUAAACGCUGAAAGCAUCUAAGCGUGAAGCCCCCCUCAAGAUGAGAUUUCCCAUUUCUUCGGAAAGUAAGAUCCCUGAAAGAUGAUCAGGUAGAUAGGUUUGGAGUGGAAGUGUAGCGAUACAUGGAGCGGACAAAUACUAAUCGAUCGAGGACUUAACCAAAA